GGAAUAUUGGACAAUGGGGGCAACCCUGAUCCAGCCAUGCCGCGUGAGUGAUGAAGGCCUUCGGGUUGUAAAGCUCUUUUGGCGGGGACGAUGAUGACGGUACCCGCAGAAUAAGCCCCGGCUAACUUCGUGCCAGCAGCCGCGGUAAGACGAAGGGGGCUAGCGUUGUUCGGAAUUACUGGGCGUAAAGAGAGUGUAGGUGGUUGUCCAAGUUGGAUGUGAAAGCCUUGAGCUCAACUCAAGAAAUGCAUUCAGGACUGGAUGACUAGAGGACCGGAGAGGAUAGUGGAAUUCCCAGUGUAGUGGUGAAAUACGUAGAGAUUGGGAAGAACACCAGUGGCGAAGGCGGCUAUCUGGACGGUUUCUGACACUAAGACUCGAAAGCGUGGGGAGCAAAC
Molecule: ribosomal RNA, 398 nt
Filed under: uncultured bacterium
Lineage: Bacteria
Description: bacterial SSU rRNA
Rfam family: Bacterial small subunit ribosomal RNA
Source: RNAcentral